Molecule: ribosomal RNA, 290 nt
Filed under: uncultured microorganism
Description: partial 16S ribosomal RNA
Rfam family: Archaeal small subunit ribosomal RNA
Source: RNAcentral
GUGCACCAGGCGCGAAAACUUCGCAAUGCGCGAAAGCGCGACGAGGGGAUUCCAAGUGCAUGCACUAAGUGUAUGCUUUUCGUGAGUUUAAAACGCUCACGGAAUAAGGGCUGGGUAAGACUGGUGCCAGCCGCCGCGGUAAUACCAGCGGCCCUAGUGGUGAUCGUUAUUAUUGGGCCUAAAGCGUCCGUAGCCGGUCCGGUAAAUCUCUGGGUAAAUCGUUGGGCUUAACUCAGCGAAUUCUGGGGAGACUGCUGGACUUGGGACCGGGAGAGGUCGGAGGUACUCCA